RNAcentral lists this ribosomal RNA (253 nucleotides) under uncultured bacterium. RNAcentral describes it as "partial 16S ribosomal RNA". It matches the Rfam family "Bacterial small subunit ribosomal RNA", at positions 524 to 776 of the family's 1533-position model. The record is from RNAcentral.
UACGUAGGUGGCAAGCGUUAUCCGGAUUUAUUGGGCGUAAAGGAAACGCAGGCGGUCUUUUAAGUCUGAUGUGAAAGCCUUCGGCUUAACCGGAGUAGUGCAUUGGAAACUGGGAGACUUGAGUGCAGAAGAGGAGAGUGGAACUCCAUGUGUAGCGGUGAAAUGCGUAGAUAUAUGGAAGAACACCAGUGGCGAAAGCGGCUCUCUGGUCUGUAACUGACGCUGAGGUUCGAAAGCGUGGGUAGCAAACAGG